This 235-nucleotide long non-coding RNA is filed under the name Zostera marina. RNAcentral's name for it is "long non-coding RNA (ZMAR_LNC002539)". Lineage: Eukaryota; Viridiplantae; Streptophyta; Magnoliopsida; Alismatales; Zosteraceae. The record is from RNAcentral.
ACCUCCCCCUCUCUUUCAAAAACUUCAGGAUAUUAGACAGAGGACACCCUCUUCCCAAUUCUAUUUGGCCUUGUAAUGGACACCCUUAGAAGGCUUAUAGAAAGAUAAUUUAGGGAAAAGAGGCUAGGUAAAUGGAGCCACAUCUAUUACCCACCUCAUGUAUGCAGAUGCUAUCCUAAUCUUCUUCAAGGCAAACACAAAGUCCCUAAAUUUUAUUAGGUUUAUUUUAGAGGAA